GACGAACGCUGGCGGCGUGCUUAACACAUGCAAGUCGAACGGAAAGGCCCUGCUUUUGUUGGGUGCUCGAGUGGCGAACGGGUGAGUAACACGUGAGUAACCUGCCCUUGACUUUGUGAUAACUUCAGGAAACUGGGUCUAAUACCGGAUAGGAUCUCCUGCUGCAUGGUGGGGGUUGGAAAGUUCCGGCCGUUGGGGAUGGACUCGCGGCUUAUCAGCUUGUUGGUGGGGUAGUGGCUGACCAAGGCUUUGACGGGAAGCCGGCCUGAGAGGGGUACCGGGCACAUGGGGACUAAGAGAGGGCGCAGAAGCCUAUGGGAGGCAGCAGGGGGGAAUAUGGCAGAAUGGGGGGAAGCGAGAGGCGGAAACGCCGGGAGCGGGAUGACGGGUUUCGGGUGGUAAACAGAUUUCGCAGGUGACGAAGAGUGAGUGACGGUAAUGGGUAAAGAAGCACCGGCUAACUAUGUG
Molecule: ribosomal RNA, 468 nt
Filed under: uncultured bacterium
Lineage: Bacteria
Description: partial 16S ribosomal RNA
Rfam family: Bacterial small subunit ribosomal RNA
Source: RNAcentral